ACUAUUUUGGCAGACAAGUGCAAUGGAUUUAGAAUCUAUAAAUGUAAUAUUAUAUUACAGGUAGUA
RNAcentral lists this transfer RNA (66 nucleotides) under Elliptorhina chopardi. RNAcentral's name for it is "tRNA-Leu". The record is from RNAcentral. Lineage: Eukaryota; Metazoa; Arthropoda; Insecta; Blattodea; Blaberidae.